This 374-nucleotide long non-coding RNA is filed under the name Phaseolus vulgaris (common bean). Its description in RNAcentral is "long non-coding RNA (PVUL_LNC000262)". The record is from RNAcentral. Lineage: Eukaryota; Viridiplantae; Streptophyta; Magnoliopsida; Fabales; Fabaceae.
CCGAUUAUUAAGUUGGCGUGCUCCGAUCUCCUGCAUACCUAAACCGGCGGUCACCGGGUUGAAGAUAAAGUCGCCAGACGUGAACCCAGGCGACCAAGUGAUUAGAGAUCGCCAAAACAAGGACAUCGCCGAAGAUGGAGUCAGAUAGUCAUUUCCCAGCUGGCCAGAGGGUGAGCUCGAGAGACAGCUCACCUGAACAUACACGGUGAGGCAAGAAGAGUAGAUCAUGAAGGCGGCCGGCGAGACCACAGGGAAGGUGUGUACGAAGGCACCCGAACUCGCCACCCAGAAGAGAUCACGCUCCAAGGCAACUAUGCACUGAGUUGUGUCAUGCAUAAGUAACUUAGCCAAAACCCUGAAGAGUAAGAAGUGGC